RNAcentral lists this microRNA (22 nucleotides) under Sus scrofa (pig). Its description in RNAcentral is "ssc-mir115". The record is from RNAcentral. Lineage: Eukaryota; Metazoa; Chordata; Mammalia; Artiodactyla; Suidae.
GGCAAGUCUUUUCAUGAUCUGA